RNAcentral lists this long non-coding RNA (286 nucleotides) under Callithrix jacchus (white-tufted-ear marmoset). RNAcentral describes it as "lncRNA (ENSCJAG00000081413.1)". The record is from RNAcentral. Lineage: Eukaryota; Metazoa; Chordata; Mammalia; Primates; Cebidae.
GCAAUAAUUUUACCAGUCCAUCAAUUCCUGCGUCAUAUGAAAAUCUCUUGGAUUUCUUUUCCUCAGUCGUUUCCUUUCUUCCUUUGUACAGUCUGCCUGAAUGAAUGUUCUCUGCUCUCUCCAAGUUUCCAUUUAUGUGUUAGCAAUAUCUCCAGCCUGCAACUGUCUUCUAAGGGACUUGGAUGAAUCUGGAAACCAUAAUUCUCAGCAAAGUGACACAAGAACAGAAAAUCAAACACCGUAUGUUCUUACUCAUAGAUUGUUUCCCAGGAAACACAGCAGAUAA